AGUGAACGCUGGCGGUAGGCCUAACACAUGCAAGUCGAACGGCAGCACAGUAAGAGCUUGCUCUUACGGGUGGCGAGUGGCGGACGGGUGAGGAAUACAUCGGAAUCUACUUUUUCGUGGGGGAUAACGUAGGGAAACUUACGCUAAUACCGCAUACUACCUACGGGUGAAAGCAGGGGAUCUUCGGACCUUGCGCGAUUGGAUGAGCCGAUGUCGGAUUAGCUAGUUGGCGGGGGAAAGGCCCACCAAGGCGACGAUCCGUAGCUGGUCUGAGAGGAUGAUCAGCCACACUGGAAAUGGGACACGGUCCAGAAUCCUACGGGAGGCAGCAGUGGGGAAUAUUGGACAAUGGGCGCAAGCCUGAUCCAGCCAUACCGCGUGGGUGAAGAAGGCCUUCGGGUUGUAAAGCCCUUUUGUUGGGAAAGAAAAGAAGCAGGUUAAUACCCCGCUGUUCUGACGGUACCCAAAGAAUAAGCACCGGCUAACUUCGU
RNAcentral lists this ribosomal RNA (491 nucleotides) under uncultured bacterium. Its description in RNAcentral is "partial 16S ribosomal RNA". It matches the Rfam family "Bacterial small subunit ribosomal RNA", at positions 29 to 506 of the family's 1533-position model. The record is from RNAcentral.